ACUGAAAAAAGUGAUUUUGGAGAGUGGUAAAUAUGAUCUAUACAAAUCAUAUGAAAUUUAAUUUAUUUUUUCAGUUAGCCAAGGAAUUACAAAAUAAUGGGUAAAUUCUACAUAUGCUACCCAUUCGUUAACAUUAAAAACCACUACAUAGGAAAAUACAGUAAAAUAUACCCCCGAAUCUUAAGUCCGGUGCUCCAACGUUGCGCAUGCGUCAAACCGCGUUUUUGAAUGAGCGGGACAGGAAACUCUGCAUCCUUUACCAACGAACCGUCGUGAGCUGAAGCUGAGGAAGCACACACCAAACAGCAAUGGCAGUCCAGUUAAGAGUCAUUUUACAAGAACACAGCAUUAAGAAGUUGACACUUCCAACAGGAAUUCCCAAUACAGUAGAUGAUCUUGUUUCCAUAAUUACUAAAACUUUCCAAUUGCAUGGGGAAUAUGGACUACUAUACCAAGACAAAGACUUUGACAAUCAGUUUUUCAGUGUCACCUCAACUGCUGACUUGUAUGACAAGGCCACUGUUAAAAUGAUCCUAAAAGAGCCUAACAUCACCCUUGACCUACACCCAAUAUUUGAAUCAGGACCAUCAUCUACAUUGAGCUCUUUGAGUUCUGUGAGCACCCAUCCUGCAAGUACUCCUGAAACAAACAUCUGCCCUGAAGAUCAUGAUGCAUCCUCACAGGUGUCCGACUCCACAUCGUCAGAUUCCAGCGACAUAAUUAUUCUGCCUGAUUCAUGUCGCCUUGCUGCAUGGCCAGUGCCAUUUCAAGUACCUGAGUUUUCCAGAGACAUACAACUAAUCCUUGCAGAGGCAAACAACUCAUAUCAUGCCACUGGAAGACACUUCAUGGAUGCCAGCGUUAAAUCAGCAAUAAUGCAAGAAAUGUUUAAAGAAAGGUGGCCAGCAUUAUUCAUUGAAGCUCAGAUCAAGGAAGAGUUCAGACGUAUCACGACAGUUUCUUUGGAGGAGACAUUCAUGCUAAAGCUUGAUGAGUACACACCAGGUCUUAUGCAGCUUAUGUGUGCUAAAGGAGGGGC
Molecule: long non-coding RNA, 1039 nt
Organism: Gambusia affinis (western mosquitofish)
Lineage: Eukaryota; Metazoa; Chordata; Actinopteri; Cyprinodontiformes; Poeciliidae
Exons: 3
Source: RefSeq, a predicted model, not a curated record